Molecule: ribosomal RNA, 392 nt
Filed under: uncultured bacterium
Lineage: Bacteria
Description: partial 16S ribosomal RNA
Rfam family: Bacterial small subunit ribosomal RNA
Source: RNAcentral
AUACGGAGGGUCCGAGCGUUAUCCGGAUUUAUUGGGCUUAAAGGGUGCGCAGGCGGCCAUUUAAGUCAGCGGUUAAAUCUUGGGGCUCAACCCCAGUCUGCCGUUGAUACUGGGUGGCUUGAUUUCGGGCGAGGGUGGCGGGAUUCGUUGUGGAGCGGUGGAAUGCAUAGAUAUGAAGAAGAACCACGAUUGCGUAGGCAGCUGACCAGACCGCAAAUGACGCUCAUGCACGAAAGUGCGGGGAUCGAACAGGAUUAGAUACCCUGGUAGUCCGCACAGUAAACGAUGAAUACUUGUUUUCGGCGAUAUAAUGUCGGAGGCAAAGCGAAAGCGAUAAGUAUUCCACCUGGGGAGUACGCCGGCAACGGUGAAACUUAAAUGAAUUGACGGGG